GAUGAACGCUAGCUGGAGGCUUAAUACAUGCAAGUCGAGCGGGAUUGGUAGCAAUACCAUGAGAGCGGCGCACGGGUGAGUAACGCGUACACGACCUACCUCUGACAGGGGGAUAGCCCUGGGAAACUGGGAUUAAUACCGCAUAUUAUUCUGAUUAAUAAAGGAUUGGAAUGAAAGUUCAGGCAGUCAGAGAUGGGUGUGCGUCUGAUUAGCUAGUUGGUAGGGUAACGGCCUACCAAGGCGAUGAUCAGUAGGGGGCGUGAGAGCGUGGUCCCCCACACGGGUACUGAGACACGGACCCGACUCCUACGGGAGGCAGCAGUAAGGAAUAUUGGACAAUGGCCGAAAGGCUGAUCCAGCCAUCCAGCGUGCAGGAAGAAGGCCCUAUGGGUUGUAAACUGCUUUUAUCAGGGAAUAAACCUCUGGAUUCACUCCGGAGCUGAAGGUACCUGAAGAAUAAGCACCGGCUAACUCCGUGCCAGCAGCCGCGGU
This 492-nucleotide ribosomal RNA is filed under the name uncultured bacterium. RNAcentral's name for it is "bacterial SSU rRNA". It matches the Rfam family "Bacterial small subunit ribosomal RNA", at positions 28 to 521 of the family's 1533-position model. The record is from RNAcentral.